CUUUUUCGCCUUCUCUCCAUCUGUUUCUCUCUCGUGCUCUGUCCAUUUCCGUCUUUUUCUUAUUUAGUAUCUCUCUCUCGUUCCCCUCCCAUCUCUCUCUCUCUCUCUCUGUCUCUCUCGGCUCAUUGCCGAUCUCUCUGUUGGUAGUAACUGAUCAGUAAUGUCAGCUCGCCGGAUCAGUCGUUGCUGAUAAAAACAUUAUUCAUUUCAUCCAGCACGAGUUAUUCCGUUAGGGCGGGCUGAACAAAUCUGGGUACAAUAUGAAGGCAAAAAAUAAAAAAGAUAAAUAAAUAAAAUCCACAUUCGGAUGUUUUAAGAUCUGGUGCUUUACCUGGACGCACCUGACGCCAUGCGCCGCAUGUCUUACUCCAACAUUUAUUCCCCGAUUAAAUCUAAACAAACCCUAAACAGGAAAUUCGACCAUGUGUAAGUGAGUAAUUUAAAGCGAACGAUUGGAAGCGGUGUCCUGUUACCCGCACCGUGCACCACGCGGGUUCUCCACACGGUACGCUUUACCCGACCUACAGUUGUGCACCUUUCCAACAGUGGCUAUAACAGGGCUCAAAUACGCAGGAGAUGCCGGAAAAGUAAAGAACGUGCCGGACCUGGAGGAUUUUUCUGAAGAACAGCGGGCAGUUUAACAGCUCAGGACAAACAAGGGACUGGUGAAGAACUCUCACAGAACAUAAACACAUCACGUCGUGGAUCGUCCAGGUGACGACACACAGGGUUAAUAAUCAAGCGUGUGUAAACUUUUGAACAUGGCUUUGAACUUUCUAUAAAUUCAGCUAUUCUCUUGUCUUGUGGACUUUACGUAAACAUCUGUUAUAUAAGUGAAUUAGAUUAUCCAGGACAGGACUAAAUAAACAACAGCAUGGGAUUUUUAUCAUCCGUCGUAUUUUGUUAACAGUAUUGAGAUUUAGCAUGUUCUGCAAGGGGUGUGCAAACUUACAGGCACAACUGUGUGUGUGUGUGUGUGUGUGUGUGUGUGUGUUGAAGCCUGUUCGGAUUUAUCCGUAUUAUUUUUGCGGGAAGAUAGUUUUAUGUGGACCUCAGACGGUACGAGGGUGAGCCAAACGAUAACCAUUAAUUAAUUGAUUGAUUGAUUAAUUAAUCAAUUAAUUAAUUAAUUUUAAAAAAGUUUUGCGUUUACUUUUGUAAAUAGCCCCAAACGUGUAUUUAUUUUCUACGUAAUCUCACAUAAUUUUGUUCAACGCAAGUGAAAUUCCAGGGUUCAAGGGGUGCCCGGAUUCCUCUAGUGGGGAAGUAAACGAUCAGAUAAAUAAUUGGUCAUCAUAAUUACUCAUUUAUCCUGAAUAAAUAGUCGUCGAUAAUCAGAGUUAAUCGGCGUCGGUCCCUUUUAAAUACAGUAUAAAUGAAAUCGAUUGAUGUAGUGUAAAGCCUCGACUUCUUACGGCACAGACAUCUUUGUACGGUGUUUCAUAUAUGAAGGUGUUAAGAUCUGGGUUAAUGUUGGAUGAAUAAAUAUCGAUGCUAUGGGGAGUCUGUGCUGUACUGAAAGAUCUUUCUUGCCGCACACACACACACACCGACCACGCCUCCUGUCAACACGGUGUACUAUUUGCAACACACACUACUGAACAUGUGUGCACGCAUAGUCUUAUUCUGGCUCUGUAAUUCAGCGGGCUUAAAAUUAGUUCUUUCUACUACAGCAUUGAUGGGGCUUGUAUUACUGACACACACACACACACACACACACACACACACAGGGUGUAUUUACACAGCUGCUCUAAUGAGUGACUGAUGCUCUCUCUUUACAACUGCCAAUAGUGUGUGUGUGUGUGUGUGUGUGUGUGUGUUUUUCAGAUGAAGUUGUUUUGUUCUUCACAAACUCACAGGUUGCUUCCUUUCUUAAUCAUCGGUCUGAAUAAUAAUCCAGGAUUCCCAUUUUACGUGCGGAUACCGAAGAUAAUCCGGAUACCGUUCAGACAUAAUUCCAGAGAUACUCGCUCGCGCACCACGAGUUAUUACAGUAACACACCGAGACGCGGACGCACACCAUCGCCGGUAUAUAACGACGCACGCCGACGUGAAACCGUACCCGCUUUGUGUAAUCUGCGCCUGUGCUCGCAAACGCCGUGUUCUGCCGCGUUUCCCUCCAGUUUUAUUAGAGGUUGGCUUUGUAUUGUGCCGGGGAAUUAAAUAACCUCAGCGCCCCUCUGGCUAAUGAAUCGUCAAAUCGUCGUGUCGCGGAGUAUGCGCUCGGGGUCCGGGAGCGUACGAGUGUACGGCGGCUUUAUGUGGAAAGACGCCGAUGAUGCUAACGCCGGCCUGAUCCAAGCACCGUAGACGCGAGAGAUUUCAAAUCCAGACUUUCGUUUAAACGCCGUUUCUUUAAGUGAGUGGGAUGCGAUCAUCCCUUUUUAAAAUUUAUUUUAAAUGUAUUUAUUUUUGCCAGAUACUACUCUCAACCCUUACGCCUCAUUAGACCCGCUUAGAAUGAAUUCCUGCGUGUCCUGUCCCGCACUCACGGAGAAUCCGCUUGGAGUGAAUGCUUAUACGAGGCACCGAAUGCAUCUGGUAAAAGGGUUCCACAGCUUUACGUUCUGUACGUGCGAUUAAAGCGUGCGCGGUUCAAGCUGCGCGGUUUCUGCAUGCUGUGUGUAAUUUCCAGCAGCCUUUUAAACACUAAAAGGUCUCUUCAUAGUCAUUCACCAGCACGCAUGAGGGACAUGUUGAUUUGUCGCUUCUCUGCUGUCACCUAAAUGGUUAGCUGUAGUCAUCAGCUAGCGUACGCGUAGUGUCUGUGUAUAUCAGUUGCCUAGCAACAGUGUUCUUCGAUCGUACAGCUUCCCCGGUUUUCAUAACUGUGCUUCUGUUUUUAUUUGUUUGUUUGUUUGUUUAACUCCUCCAUAGUGGAUUUCUAAAUCUGUUAGUUUGUUCGUUCGUUCGUUCGUCUACUUAUUUCUCACAAUCUUCCACAGUGGAGAAGUCCUACAGCAUUUUUAAUGUUUGUUCGUUCGUUCGUUUGUUUUUUUGUUGCCUAGAACUGUUCCGUCACUCUUUGAUUUGUUUGCGUAUUCAUGUUGUUUUUUUCUUUCUCAAUUCUUUUGAAUUCUUCAAUACUUAUGCGUCUGAGUCUUCCAUACUGGAGACUUCGAGCACAUUGUUAAUGGUGUUUAAAUCGUGUUUGUUUGUUUGUUUGUUUUGCUAGCUGGUUUGUUUGAAUCUUCCGUAGUGGCGACUUUUAGAACUGCGGUUCGGGUUUUUAAUGAAUGAAUGAAUUACUUUUUAAUUAGUUUUACUGCUCGUGGAAUUUCAUUAACAAAACUGGGAGAAGUUUAACAGACAUUUACCGAGUGUACUGUGUGUCUGUGUGAGGUCUUUAAAAUCACACCACCACCCAUGAGAACAUCCUGCAUGGACCACAGGAGGGGUGUGUGUGUGAGAGAGAGGAGAACGUUCUGGGCUAUGUGCGUGACUGUGAUGUGGGAAUCCGGCUCCGCGGUGGUGAUCUUUUCACCUUUUGAUGUUGGAUGGUUGCUACACUGUGACAUUAAGUACUGUCGAUUGAUCCCGAAUGCACGCACACACACGCGCACACCCCAAACAAGAGCACGUACGUACCGGAGGAACAGUUGACACAGAACAGAACACCCAGCAUUUGUGCGAGAGCGUGUUAUUUAAGUAAGAAGGUGUGUGUGCGUAUUGUAGGAGCUCUUUGCUGCGUGUAAACACUCUGAGGCUAUUUGUUUGCCUCUUCUUCCCUGUGUGUGUGUGUGUGUGUGUGUGUGUGUGUUUUGUGCGUAUUGAUUCCUUCUGUCCAUCUCUCUAGCUCUGACCUGACAGCUGGUUAGGUGCAGGAUGUGACGCGCGAUGACCGUAUUACUCACAGUUCCUGAUUUGUAGCACGUCUUGUCCUUUCGCGACAGCACAUGAUGGUAACAUCUCAACAAGCUUGGGAUCUCAAGUAAACAUGCACCUUUUAUUUACGAUCCCCCGAGUAAACGGAAGUUCCGUGAGAAGCCGCAGGUCGUUAACGAUCCCUCAUGAGCGAGUCACAAGUCCACCUAAUCGAAGACGUUUCCACUAGAUCGAGAAGGUUGCAAUAUGUCUCCUGCGUCCUAUAAAACGUAUCACGCUGUCGGUCGCUACGGUCCGAGUCCUUCGGCUAAUGAAAUCAGUGCUACAUGUGACAGAUGUUGUGUUUUGGUUACAGUAUGAAGGAGCUGAAACUACAGCCAGCCGUACAGGCUGAAUGUCAGCUUGAGUGAGCUUUAUAUACGCCUGAGUGGCUGAAGAUGGAUCCAUUCAUCUAAAACGUCCAGCUCGGUUAACAUCACUCCCGACGCAACACGCGCACCAACCUAAUCGAGGCCAGAAACACACCCGGUAUACAUAACGCUACCUGCGACCUGAAUCUAGCUGAGUGCGAGCUGAAAAGAAACUCGUCCAGCGUUGCCAGGAAAACACACACACACACACACACACACCCCAGACUCAUCAUUAUCGCCGUGUCCCAAUUCGCCUACUAUCCGUCCUAAAUACCACCCGAGAUUAGAAUUAGCACGCCCCAGAUCGUAGUAUAUUCAAACGAGUAUCCCAAAGGUACCCGGAUGGUCUACUAUUUCCUGUAGGUUUUCCAAGCGUGGAUCCGUGGACACUUUUUCAGCUAAUAUUGCCCACAGAUCCUUGCGCGAGUGCGGGAGGAGCUUUUGUGACGAUUUGCUUCACCCCGAAUCCAACCUGGCGGACGAGUGUAACGUCUGUGAUGCGUCAUAAGCGUAAGAACUCAACUGUUAAGCACUAACCGACGUUUUUUAAAUUUACUUAUUUAUUUAUUUUUAUCGUCACGUAAGAUUUAAUGUUGUGUAAAAAGAGUACCAUGUUUAUCACUUUAAAAAAUAUAUAUAUUUAAAUAAAGAAAGAAAUCAAGGGGACGGGAAAUUAAAUGACGUACAUUUUAGAACGCGAUGCGACGAGGAGUUUGUUUACGGUGACGGCGUGCGUAACUAGGCAACGCGUCUUUCUUCACAAAAACGAGUACAUACGUUUAGC
Ictalurus punctatus (channel catfish) is the source of this 5019-nucleotide long non-coding RNA. The record is from Ensembl. Lineage: Eukaryota; Metazoa; Chordata; Actinopteri; Siluriformes; Ictaluridae.